RNAcentral lists this ribosomal RNA (652 nucleotides) under bacterium LB-175. Its description in RNAcentral is "bacterial SSU rRNA". It matches the Rfam family "Bacterial small subunit ribosomal RNA", at positions 782 to 1434 of the family's 1533-position model. The record is from RNAcentral.
GUACCCUGGUAGUCCACGCUGUAAACGAUGUCGACUUGGAGGUUGUUCCCUUGAGGAGUGGCUUCCGGAGCUAACGCGUUAAGUCGACCGCCUGGGGAGUACGGCCGCAAGGUUAAAACUCAAAUGAAUUGACGGGGGCCCGCACAAGCGGUGGAGCAUGUGGUUUAAUUCGAUGCAACGCGAAGAACCUUACCUACUCUUGACAUCCAGAGAACUUAGCAGAGAUGCUUUGGUGCCUUCGGGAACUCUGAGACAGGUGCUGCAUGGCUGUCGUCAGCUCGUGUUGUGAAAUGUUGGGUUAAGUCCCGCAACGAGCGCAACCCUUAUCCUUUGUUGCCAGCGAUUCGGUCGGGAACUCAAAGGAGACUGCCAGUGAUAAACUGGAGGAAGGUGGGGAUGACGUCAAGUCAUCAUGGCCCUUACGAGUAGGGCUACACACGUGCUACAAUGGCAUAUACAAAGAGAAGCGACCUCGCGAGAGCAAGCGGACCUCAUAAAGUAUGUCGUAGUCCGGAUUGGAGUCUGCAACUCGACUCCAUGAAGUCGGAAUCGCUAGUAAUCGUGGAUCAGAAUGCCACGGUGAAUACGUUCCCGGGCCUUGUACACACCGCCCGUCACACCAUGGGAGUGGGUUGCAAAAGAAGUAGGUAGC